CAAUAGCGUAUAUUAAAGCUGUUGCGGUUAAAAAGCUCGUAGUUGGAUUUCUGUCAAGGACAACUGGUCCGCCUUCCGGGUGAGCACAUAGUUUGGUCUUGGCAUCUUGCUGGAAACUGUUGCUGCGCUUGGUUGUGUGGUGCAGCUUUCAGCACUUUCACUUUGAGGAAAUUGGAGUGUUUCAAGCAGGCACAUGCCUUUGGACACAGUAGCAUGGAAUAAUUAGAUUGGGCUUUUGCUCCAACUUGUUGGUUCCUGGAGCUGAGGUGAGAAUCAAUGGGGAUUGUUGGGGGCAUCCGAAUUUAGCCGUCAGAGGUGAAAUUCUUGGAUCUGCUAAAGACGGACAACUGCGAAAGCGUUUGCCCAGGAUGUUUUCAUUGA
RNAcentral lists this ribosomal RNA (381 nucleotides) under uncultured eukaryote. RNAcentral's name for it is "partial 18S ribosomal RNA". It matches the Rfam family "Eukaryotic small subunit ribosomal RNA", at positions 592 to 976 of the family's 1831-position model. The record is from RNAcentral.